CUGUUCUAGUAAUUUACAGGUCAAAACAGGAUUAAGGAACGGCGAUGCGGCUCAGCUUUCCUAACCCCCGUUUCUGCUAAGCCCUUGACUGUAAAGCCUCCCAAAGACACAAAAUGUCUUGUUUUUUUCUUUGUUUGUUAAAUUUCACUUCUUUCUGAACAUUCUGUGCUGGGCCUUUUUUUUUCCCUUCUUCUUCUAAAAGGAUUACUGCACUAGGGCCCGGCAUUCCAGAGGCCUGACGUUGGGACCAGCAGCUGGGUCCGUGCUCCCACUGCUGUCAGACCGGCAUUGCCAAGAUCCUUAUUAUUUCUGCUCCGCAUUUUCUCAGAAUCCCAGAGGGGAGGAAACUGGAGCAGAAAGGAGCCAGAUGCUCAGGAUCACAGAGCGAGCUGGACAUGGAACUGGAAUCCAGGUGAUAAGGCGGCAGCAGCUGAGCUAGGAGUCACGUGACUGUUCUGCCUUCUCCUGCCUGGCAUGGAUUUUAAGAAUGAGGAAGUCAAGCACCAGAGAGGUGAAGACGACAGGGCCAAUAAGGGUCAGCACUGAGUUUUAAACUAAAACCUUUGCACUAUCCAAUGUCUGUGCAACUUUUUCACAAGCUAAGGGACAGAAGAAUUGCAGCAAAAUUAUUGUCCAGUGAGAUUAGGACAGAAAGUAUCUGUUAGAUUUGGCAGCAUGGAGAUCCCUGGGGAGUUAGGAAGGUCAGUUACAGUGGUGUGAUGGGGUGGAGGUCUGGUGGUAAAGUCUUGAAGAGUGAAUGGUAGGCAGGAGUUUAGAUGGUCCUUUCAGGAAGUUUGACUAAAGAGGGAAAGUGAGAGAUGGGAGAGCAGCUAAAAAGAGAGAGAUAAAAAUGCUCAAAAAUUAUUUUUUUGUUAAGAGGGGAAAACUUGCAUGUCUUUGCAUGCUGACAGUAAAUCCAAGGAUGGGGGUUAUGCUGGUGGAGAACUAGCUUUCAGUCUGCUGUGAAUUUGGUUAAUUGGAAUCAAGGUCUCUGGGUCUGGAUGACUUGAACCUCCUGUGAGCCAGUGACGUCACCCCAAAGGGAGCAUAUGGGGAUGGGAAGAUCUUGAUUGUCUUGCUUGAACUGCAAACAUAGCCACAGACCCCAUGGGUUAUUGUUCUGCUAUGAACAGUCUUCUAAAUUUGUAUGAUAACAUCACAUCGAAACUUUUAUCUUCAUUUGUAAUCUAAGAACUACAAAUAUAGAUAGCUGAGUUAUCAUACCCCUAGGACCAAAGAUUUGAAACCAUGAGAAUUCACUGCUGGUGAGAAGACAAUUGGG
RNAcentral lists this long non-coding RNA (1282 nucleotides) under Capra hircus (goat). Its description in RNAcentral is "lncRNA (ENSCHIG00010004810.1)". The record is from RNAcentral. Lineage: Eukaryota; Metazoa; Chordata; Mammalia; Artiodactyla; Bovidae.